Centrocercus urophasianus (Greater sage-grouse) is the source of this 1352-nucleotide long non-coding RNA. RefSeq lists it as uncharacterized. The transcript has 3 exons. Lineage: Eukaryota; Metazoa; Chordata; Aves; Galliformes; Phasianidae. The record is from RefSeq and is a predicted model, not a curated record.
UUCUAUGAAGGACAUAUCUCUUUGUGCAGCAGGUUCCUGACUGUGUGAUAGGAAGUAUAGCUCUGAUAGAAGAAUUGCAAUGUCAUUUACAAAGAAAGGAAGGAGAAAGGCUGCCUAGUGAGGUUGUGGAUGCCUCUUGCCUGGAAGCAUUCAAGUCCAGGCUGGUUGGGGCUUUGAGUCACCUGGUUGAGGGGGAGGUAUCCCUGUCUACAUCAGGGGUGUUGUAACUAGAUGAUCUUAAAGAUUCCUUCUAACCCAAACAAUUCUAUGGUUCUUUGAUUCUAUAUGGAAUAAAUCCAUGCAAUAGCAGGCAAAAGGGAGAGCUGGAACCCUGUAGUCUUGUGCAGAUCCAUCUAUCAAGCUGGACAACAUCUACACAUGGACCUCCAGCGGUGUUAGAGGACAGAAGACUCAGCAGUAAAAACUCUGUGGCUUCAGUGACUGGAGAUGAUGGCCACUGUUGAUGCAGAUCAAAAGCUUCCUCUGAAACUCAUGUAAUGCAGCAGGCCAGUUCACAACACCACAUUGCAGUGAAAGUUUACAUGGCGAGACUUCAUCCGCAUGAUACAUGUCUUACUGGAACUCAAGUCAGAACACCACACUGGGACAUCAUGACUACAGCUCAUUGGGAAUAGUGCCAUCUGAUGAAUCAACAAAAAGUCUGCCAACAGACAUCCUUGCAGUCUUGAACUCAGUUCUGCUGAUACAUCUGCAUAACCUUGACAAGCAUUAUGGAGAGCAUAGAUUUCUCCGUUUCUGACUCACAAAGGUAAUAACAAGAAAUCAAACUAAUUCUGGUCAUAAUCUACCCUGAAUUGCAGCUCCCACCAGCUUGCUGAAGGUCGUCACUUUUAUCCUUGGAGCCGUGUUUUCCCUCUUGUGUCAGCACAGCAUGCUGAAACAGCCGGGGCAUUCUUGGGUGUUCACUGACUGCUUUCUGACCAUAUAUUUUAUUGACAGUGUUAACUAAAAGCAUUUUAAAGGAGCUUCCCAGAAGGAUAAAGAAGUUAUUAGUGACUGAACCAUGAAGACUUCAGAAUCAAGGUCACGACUGCACAGAAGCAUGGAGUGAAGUACAUACACUCUGAGAACUGUAAACCUGGAUAUUUAAGCAUUUGCAGCACCUACAACUUUUGCUGCUGCUCUGUGAAAUACAGCUUCAUUUGCUGGUGAAUCAGUCUUAUAAAAAUGGUAAUUGUGAAGUGCAGUUGCUAGCUGUAUCAGGAGAAAAGGGAUUUUACGUGUAAUGGAGAUUCUUUUAAUGAUAAAUUAUCUAGCUCCUGGCUACCAUGUAUGAGCUCUAUUAAUUGGCAAUAAAUUGUUCAUCAUUAAAUCUAGUUCACUCUUCUUAA